Gasterosteus aculeatus aculeatus (three-spined stickleback) is the source of this 3336-nucleotide long non-coding RNA. The record is from Ensembl. NCBI's taxonomy places the organism in Eukaryota, Metazoa, Chordata, Actinopteri, Perciformes, Gasterosteidae.
ACUGGGCCUCUAAAAAGCAAAUGUCUAUGUCUUACAGGCUGAAUUCUGUGAAAAAUCAUCACCAUUUUCUUUUGGUGGCAACUCGAUUGUAAUAACACAUCAAGCUGUCCCGUGUUGCCACGGUGUAUGAAAUGAAUAAAACGUGUGACCCUUUGACCCAGCCCUCUUUCACAGACUCAUCCCUAUUCCUGGACAUCAGCUUUCACUCCCUAAAUUUCAACAUCAGAGAAGCAGGACUCUUAUCUGUGAUGUUUGUCUGAACUUUCACUUCGCUGCGAGCUCAAUAUUAAAGCAGCGUUAUCUCCUCGGAGCGACAACGCGCGCAACCGUCCAUAGGAAAUCAUUCCCGGGCUUAUCCGCCGUGCAGAUUUAUGGACACGGGGCGCACGGCCUGAAUGCAAAGAAUGAGGUUCGAUAAGAAAACAGCAGAGGAAGAUGAGGAAUCGCUUCUGAGUGUGUGGGACGUAACCAUGCGGCCCCGGCGCUGUGAAACCCAAACGGUCCCCAGGAGGCGAUUACGGGCGUUUAUGUGGUCCGUUUUUUCCCUCCGUGUGCUGCACAUUUACAGCGUCAAGGUACAGAGAAGCCUGCAGCUUGUAACAUCCGCCCUGUUAGAGACAGCAGGUCACAAAGUGAGAUUCAUGCAGGGGGAAGCUGCGUUAGCAGUGAAUAAUAAAGCGACAAUAAAGCGCUCUGCUUCCCAAUCAACACAACACAGAUGACGAGAGACGCCGGUCCAGGCGAGCGCGAGUCGGACUUAAUGGCGUCAUAAAAAAAAAAACAACACGCACGAAGAAGCUGUUACGCUAAUUGUUUGUAGCAACGCAGUGAUUUAGUGCAUUGGAGAAGAUGGAACCAUUGUCCUCUGCGCUCAUUAAGAUCAUAUUGUGUUGAAAGAAGCCCGGAGUGUGUGUGUGUGUGUGUGUGUGUGUGUGGGCUGGCAUCUCGCUCGUCUCUUUGGCGAUGAACACGAGCGCGUGACUCUUCGGCGCCGCUGAGAGUGAGCGUGAGAGUGAACGGGGUCGUCGCUUUAAAUCACUCCGGCUUUGUGAGACACGAGAAUGCUUUGUUCUGUUCAUCUGUUCUUCACUGUGUGUGUGUGUGUGUGUUCAUUACCAGGCGUGCACUUCGGUCUGCCCUGUGGAGCCUCCUCGCCACGCGUGUGCGUGUGUGUGUGUGUGUGUGUGUGUGCAUAAAAGACGGGUGCUACAUUGUCUCUGUGGGUAUCUGAUUGUCCCUCGUCUUCAUUGAGCACUUGACCUUCUCUGCUCCCGCGUAAUGAUUUGCUGCAGGGGGACGCGGGGGGACGAAGGGGGACGAAGGGGGACGAAGGGGGGAGAGUCACAAAGUGUGUGAGCGCUGGGUCCAGACAUCAGAGCGCCUCUUUCUCUGUUAUCCUGCGGCGAUGCUUUAUUUGAAGUGGGAGGUUUGCCAAAGCGCGCGGGCCAAUCACCAGCGCUCCACUGUAAACAUCUGUAUGGUCACACCAGAUGUUCCCUCAGAUCGCUCCUCCGGUUCCUUUGUCUGGAAGUUAAUUUGCCUGGAAUGAGGUCUUUAAGACGAGUUGACGCUUUGUCUUCGAGAUGAGACGGAAAAGUAAACUCUCUCAUUUUGAAGCUUUCAGCUUGGCGGCUAAGUCGUUAUUACGCCUCCAGUCGGCCUUCAGGGUCACUUCUGUUUGUUCCUCCUCAUCAAGCUCCACUCGGACCCCUUAUUAAUAUUUACAAUGAAUUAGUUAACAAUACUUCAGAGUUGUGUUGCUUUUAGUUGCGUUUCAGCUUUUCUGCACUUUAACCACAAACAGAGGGCAUCUUCCCUCUCGGCGAAGGACCGGGGCGGAUUUGUGCGUCGGGAACAUUGUGUGCUCUCAGAAUGUACUUGUUAGCUUUCGGUUAACCACAUGGAGAGUUUUUCACCCAGCGGCGUUGGCAGGAGUCACGUCCCGACUUCAGGCAGGGAGAGACAGACGGCAGGAAACAUUAAUCAUCCACAUUGUGCGGCUGCUCACUAUUCAGCGUCUCUCACAAGGAAUUCAAGCAUCAGGUGAAUAAAUAAGUAAAUCACGGAUGGUUGUUAGGACUCAAAGGACCUCAUGGGACCUUUUUUUGUUUGUUUCAUCCAUAUUGGGGAUUGAACCCCCGGAAACCCGGCCUACGCUUUGCGUUGCCGCCCUUUGACCCAAGUGGCCUCACGGCACACGUUUGUAAUCCAGCAUCCGUCCCUCGCCGAGAGAUAUUUAGACAUCCAGACUGAUAAAUAGAAGUCGUCUUCGACACUGAAACCUCUUGCUUAAUUAUAUGCAAAUAUAAGGCAAUAAUUCCAUUAUUAUGCUAAACUGCACAGAGCACACAAGGGGGGGAAGAGGAAAACUCUGCAUAUUCAAUCAAAGCUCACAGGUAUUGGCAUGCUCAUUUGAAUUCAGCCUUUGACUCAAGGAACCGACAUGAGCGACCUGAUGAGGGAUCUAAGCGCCUCAUGAAUAUGAACGCGAGUGAUCAUUUGUAGAAUAAGAAGGAUGCUUUGAUUCAAAGCGCCCUUAGACGUAAGUGGAAGGCGCCGCUGCAUCGCGCCAAAGGUGACACAACCGCUGGGGCAGCGCCCACCGCGGCCCCCGGACAAUCCUGCAGGAAAUGUGAGCACGGUUUCUAGCGUGUUGGGAGAAACACGCGAUGCAGACCGCGUGCAUGCAGACCAAUAUUAAACAGUAAAUUACGACGGCUCGUCUCGACGGAAUUAGAAGCAAUAAAGCUGACAGAUGGAGGAGAAGGAACGUCAACGUGUGCCAUUGUUUUCCUCUCAUCUCCCCCCCGAAUACAGUGUGAACGCACACCUCGUAAUUAGCCGCUAACAGUUCAGGGGAUUAACUGUUGGGAAUAUUGUACUUGUGCAGAAGCUGCGCUGAGGAGACGACUUUGCGUUGCCCGGCGUCCGCCGGCCACCGCGCCUGCGUCGUGGCUGAAACGAGACGCGGACGCCGGUCUCAUUAACCAGGCGUUUUCCAGCUGGAGCGCACGCGGCGUUGCUAGGAUACGACGUGGGGCCGGCUGUGCACUGAGGUACCACUGACACCGGAGCUGGUUCAGCAGCUGAAAAACACACCGGAGAUCGAUUCCCGAUCAGCUCACGUUUGACUUCUUUUGACUUGUUUCCACUGAUUCUGUGUUGGAUGUCGUCUUAUGCUUCGUCAGUGCAAAUCGCGCCUUCCAAACUUUGCAUUUUCCUCAUUCGGUGAUUCGCUUAUUAUUCAGAAUGAUGUCAUCGGACCUUUUUGGUGUCAGCAGUUUGGUGCCUUGAAGGAAUUCCAAACCUCCUAAAUAAUUUGCAUGUCAAUACUCA